Molecule: ribosomal RNA, 694 nt
Filed under: uncultured Micromonospora sp.
Lineage: Bacteria; Bacillati; Actinomycetota; Actinomycetes; Micromonosporales; Micromonosporaceae
Description: bacterial SSU rRNA
Rfam family: Bacterial small subunit ribosomal RNA
Source: RNAcentral
CCUUCGGGGUACUCGAGCGGCGAACGGGUGAGUAACACGUGAGCAACCUGCCCCAGGCUUUGGGAUAACCCCGGGAAACCGGGGCUAAUACCGAAUAUGACCUCUGACCGCAUGGUUGGUGGUGGAAAGUUUUUCGGCUUGGGAUGGGCUCGCGGCCUAUCAGCUUGUUGGUGGGGUGAUGGCCUACCAAGGCGACGACGGGUAGCCGGCCUGAGAGGGCGACCGGCCACACUGGGACUGAGACACGGCCCAGACUCCUACGGGAGGCAGCAGUGGGGAAUAUUGCACAAUGGGCGGAAGCCUGAUGCAGCGACGCCGCGUGAGGGAUGACGGCCUUCGGGUUGUAAACCUCUUUCAGCAGGGACGAAGCGUAAGUGACGGUACCUGCAGAAGAAGCGCCGGCCAACUACGUGCCAGCAGCCGCGGUAAGACGUAGGGCGCGAGCGUUGUCCGGAUUUAUUGGGCGUAAAGAGCUCGUAGGCGGCUUGUCGCGUCGACCGUGAAAACUUGGGGCUCAACCCCAAGCCUGCGGUCGAUACGGGCAGGCUAGAGUUCGGUAGGGGAGACUGGAAUUCCUGGUGUAGCGGUGAAAUGCGCAGAUAUCAGAGGAACACCGGUGGCGAAAGGCGGGUCUCUGGGCCGAUACUGACGCUGAGGAGCGAAAGCGUGGGGAGCGAACAGGAUUAGAUACCCU